This 468-nucleotide ribosomal RNA is filed under the name Centipeda noxia. Its description in RNAcentral is "bacterial SSU rRNA". It matches the Rfam family "Bacterial small subunit ribosomal RNA", at positions 28 to 467 of the family's 1533-position model. Lineage: Bacteria; Bacillati; Bacillota; Negativicutes; Selenomonadales; Selenomonadaceae. The record is from RNAcentral.
GACGAACGCUGGCGGCGUGCUUAACACAUGCAAGUCGAACGGAGCGAAUGAAAGCUUGCUUUUAUAAGCUUAGUGGCAAACGGGUGAGUAACACGUAGGCAACCUGCCGACAGGAUGGGGACAACAUUCCGAAAGGAAUGCUAAUACCGAAUGAAGCGCAGGAGAGGCAUCUCUCCUGCGUGAAAGAUGGCCUCUAUAUAUAAGCUAUCACCUGUCGAUGGGCCUGCGUCUGAUUAGCUGGUAGGUGAGGUAACGGCUCACCUAGGCGACGAUCAGUAGCCGGUCUGAGAGGAUGAACGGCCACAUUGGGACUGAGACACGGCCCAGACUCCUACGGGAGGCAGCAGUGGGGAAUCUUCCGCAAUGGGCGCAAGCCUGACGGAGCAACGCCGCGUGAGUGAAGAAGGUCUUCGGAUCGUAAAGCUCUGUUGAUGGGGACGAACGUGCCUAAUGCGAAUAGUAUUAGGC